This 670-nucleotide ribosomal RNA is filed under the name Panonychus citri (citrus red mite). Its description in RNAcentral is "eukaryotic LSU rRNA". The stretch from base 1 to 105 matches the Rfam family "5.8S ribosomal RNA", at positions 50 to 154 of the family's 154-position model. Lineage: Eukaryota; Metazoa; Arthropoda; Arachnida; Trombidiformes; Tetranychidae. The record is from RNAcentral.
UAGCUACGAUAACCGGUGCGAAUCGCAAGAUACGCCGAGCACUUGAACUUCCAACGCACAUUGCGGCUUUCAGUUUAUUCUGAAGUCACAUCUGUCUGAGAGUUGAGAAGAUUAAAUUACUAACUAUCACAUAGAUAGACAAGGGGCCUCUGUCUAUCAUGUAUAGGGAUGACCGGAUGGUCUAUGCUUAGCAGCAGUAGUUUAACACCUACUCUGCUAUGACUUAGUUCACAUACGGCUUCGUAAUAUUUUAAUCCUUUUCUUGGCUUGGUCCUUAACUGGAUACAAGCCUAGUAAGGAGUUUGUAUAGAUGGUGGUGCAUGGUGAAAACUUGUUGGUUGUGUAUUGUUAAAUACAACAACAGCCACAGAACAACGGGAUGUUGGAAUAUAUUUCACUGGCAGGGGAUACCUGAGAAUGCUGGUCAAUCUGCCGACGCUCAAGUCGAACAGCGGAUUAACAUGACCCGAAGAAAAGGCUUCUCAUUAUAAAGGAUCUCGUUUGUUACAUAAAGGUGAAUUAUAGUCUGUUGGUUCUGUUGUUGUAAUACUUAACAUAUACACAACAUAUAUAACUUGUUAGUAGCGCAUGUAUCCCGUCUCCCAUUAUCAAGCAAUAGUUUGGAUCUUUCCAAACCUCUUUAACUUUGAUCUCAGAUCAGGUGAGGUUA